GAGUGGAGAAAGUGCGGAAAGAAGCAACAGCCGCUCCACCCGCGGGCGGAAAGUGGCCGGGCGCGGCGGCGGGAUGCGGCGCAGAUAACGGUCCCCGGGGCCGCCCGAGCCGCUAGGCGCAGAGGCAGCUCACAAGUGUAGGGCUGGAGCUACAGGAAUCGUCCAGAUGCACUGGCUUUGCCUCUGCCUCUUUCUGUGUCUCAUUCUGUUUCCAGCUCUGCAUGGACGUGGAUGGCCCAGAAAGGUACAUAUGAAGAGGCACAACCUCAGCAUUACCUGGUGAUGCUUAGAGGAGAGAAAGCUUUCUCAGACCCAACUGUGGUUAAAGAUUUUAUUAGAUAUUUCCUACAAGUGCAGUUUAUAUAAUUAUAAUAUUAAUUUGAGCAUAUUCAUAAAGGUUACAUGUAGCUUUAGUUUGACACUUCCCCUGUUUACCUACCCAGUUUUUCUUUAUGUCUACGCGACCUGUAUAUUCGUUUUUCUUACUGCAUUGUAACAUUCCUCAAUUAAUAAUUGGACUGUGAAAUACUAAACUAGUCACUUGUUGAAUGUUUAAAUUACUUGUAAUAUCUUAUUAUAUAAAGAAUUAAAAACUGUCACCAUUUUGUUUUGAUUUUUAUAUCAUUUUAUGGAAAAAUAUCCUCAAACAUGUAAUGACUGAAUAAAUGGAAAUGGCAUGGUUGUCCCCCCAUACACACGCACAGACACCUAUACACAUGGUUGUCUCCCCCAUAUAGACAUGCACACACACCUGCACACUAAUCUUUUGUCAUUGUCUGUUUACUAGGUAACAAGCUGUCCUAGAACUUGAUAUGUAGAGCAGGCUGGCCUGAAACUCUCAGAGCUCUGCCUCUGCCAUCAGAAUGCUGAGAUUAGAGGCAUACAAAGCCAUGCCUAGCUUAAAGGGGAAAGUCAGCCAUGCAUGCUGCGAACGAAACUCUUCUUUUAAUUGUAAGCCUACCCUUUAACAGUGUCCCCAAGCCUUAGAAGAGCGUGGUGUAAAUGUCCUGUUUAGGGCUAAGCACUCAGCCUUGACUUAAUAUCAACACCUCAAACCCUGAUGAGUGUUCGCGUCCACCGGUGCUCACUGCCAGAAGCGUCUCUGGUCAAGACUGAGAACAGGAUCUGUCCAUGGGUAUAAAUACGGCUAUUUAGAAGCAGUUUCUUCUUCUGCCCACUUAGCAAAGUUAUCCCUUUAGGGCCUAUGGGCCACUCUGGCCAUAGAGUUCUGACCAGAUGUGCAGGACAAUGCAUUCUCUCUGUGUUGUGGGCCUCAACAGCCAUGCAGCUAAUCCAGCAUGCCUGCCAUGUUGGUGUUGUGCCUUGAAGCCUUCACAGUUGCACAGGCUGUCAAUGGCCUUCCUUCCGUGUAGGUGUAGCUUCCAGUGUGCCUUUCCAGCACAGUGUGUGCUCACCGGUAGUAGUCCCAGCUUGAUUCUGUAAUAUCACUAUUGUCUUGUAAAUGAUCUGCCUAGACCAUGGCCACAUUGUUUGCCCUUACUAGUUUAUUGUCAAAUUGACACAAGUCAGAAUUAUUGGGGAAGAGGGACUCUCAAUUGAGAAAAUGCUUCCAUAAUAUUUGGCUAUAGAGAGGUCUGUAGGCAUUUUUUUUAAUUAGUAAUUGAUGUGGGAGAGCCCACUAUGAGUGGUGCCACUCCUGGGCAAGCAGCAGUCCUAGGAUGUCUAAGAAAGCAGGCCGAGCAAGCCAGGAAGCAGCAAUCCUCCCAGGUCUUUGCAUCUCUGUUCCUGCCCUGAGUUCCUGCCCUGGCUUCCCUCAGUGACGGACUUACAAGCUGUAAGGGGAAACAAACCCUUCCCCAACAUAUAACCUUUAGUUAUAGUAUUUUUAUCAUAACAGCAAUAAAAAAACCCAGGUAAGAUAGUUGUAUAUUAACUUAAAUGCAGUUGAACUUAACCAUAUUUUUUCUUCUAGGAUACUUUAUAUGGUAUUCUUAUAAACAAUAAAAAUGCCCACAAAAAGCCUUCUUUUAGUUUUACAUUUGAUGUUCUGCAUAGUUACUCUGUGGGUUUGGAUGACUGUUUCAUUGUCAAGAACCUUAUGUUACUCAAACAUGAAGCCAUUCCUGGGUAAGCAUGUGUUUAUCUAUUGCAGUCUAAAAUGUAUAUUAUUUAAAUGUAAAAAUUUGUAUAUUUUAGUCACUUCUUUUAUAUUGAGUUAGUUUUUAUUAAAUAUCUUUUUCCUUUAGUAGCUUAGUUUACCAAUAAAUACCUAUGUUGGUUUUUGACAUAUAAUAUGGAAGUUUUCUGGCAAGUAUUUUCAUUAACAAACUAGAAACAAUUUUAGUAAAAGCCAAAAAGUAAUGUUUGAACAUAUAAAAUGUCAAAUGUUUAGCAUAAACUUUAUAAAUAGCAAAAUACUUAAUAGAAGAAAUUACUCAGUGUCACUAAAAAUGAUUAAAAACAUUGAGUAUAUGAGAAAAGUAUUCUUUGAGCUAAUGAAGUGAAUUUAUUAUACAUCUUCCCUUUUUAUUUUUCUAUGGAAAACAUACUAAAAUUUUUUAAGUACACAUAGCUUUGAAUUGUGUUAGUUUUUUGUUUGGUUGGUUUUUUGUCUGUUUGCUUUGUACUGCCUAGUUUAUUACAAUUUUGUGUUCCAUUGAACUCACUUUCUCCAAACUUUGGGUAUGGUAUCAGUCUAAAUCAAAGUCUAGGCCCACUUUUGGCUUACAGUGUGCUCUGGUUCUACAUGUUCCUUCCAUUGCCAGGGAACUGCCUGGAGAUCACACAGCUGACACCCACUCAGGGCAGAAUGUGACCACCACUAACUAAAGAAGUGUCCCUGGAUUUCACUUGCUCUCUCACCCCUCACUUGUCAGACCUUGGAACCCGCAGAUCAGUGAUGCGCAGCAAGCGAUAUCCCAAUGCCAUCUCACCCCUCCCUUGUCAGACCUUGGACCCCACUGAUCAGUGAUGCACAGCAAACGAUAUCCCAAUGCCAGAAGGAUCAGAAGUAGGAAGACACUUGGCUUUCCCAGCUUUCAGGCCACUUGAUAGCUGCCACAGUUCAUUACCCAGGAAAAUUGCUUGAACUCUAGGAAAAUGGGUACUAGAGGUGAGGGAAAAUUAGUUCACCACCAACACAGUUCACCUGGCAACUCAGUCAUCUGGAUCUAACUGGAGAAUGAUUGCAGCCAUGUUCUCCAUGAGGCUGAAAGCUGCUUCCUGCUGGAAGGUAGGAUCCCGUCCGUCUGGGUAUAGGCUGUAGGAGGUGGAGGGAAGCAGAGAGGGACCCUCUCUCCCCAUGACUCUCCCACUGCUCUUCAUUUCUGUGGCACGAGAUCCUGUCUUUAAUUCUGUUGCAUUUAGGAAACUUACAGUCAUACCCAGAAGGAGAUGCCAGAGCACAAACAGUGGAUAAAUACUGAGAUAGAGGUGGGGGCAGCAAUGCUUUAUUGAGUAAUUGGUUCUGUGUUUGUUUCCAUACAUGUUCUCAUGCUAUACCAAGAGGCCUGGGCUAUAGCUUAGUGGUGGGGCACUUCCUUAGCAUGAUAAGGCCCUGGGUGGAAUGGCACAGCAUUGCCACAGUUUUGCAUGAGCACUUUACUGCCCUCUGUCUAGUUGGACAGUUUAGACACAGUGCGCACCCUGCUACGAUGACUUCCUUGCUUCCCUGCCCCUUGAACUCUGCUCAUCUCACCAUUAUUCUGGUCUCUCAUCACUCACCCAAGUUUUCAACACUGUCUAUUGUUUGAUACCUGGCUCGCAGCAUGCAUUAUAAAUACUAUAUGGAUAAUCCCUCCUGUUAUAAUUGUGACUGUAUCUGCCUAUGAUUUUUAAACAGAUACACCAUAGCUGCCUCACUACGGUGGGUAUAGGAAGAGAGGCCCAACUGAAGAGCAAUGUAGAAGGUAACCCAACAUCACAUACAAGGAAGUGCCGAAGCAUCAAAGGGUCCUUUCCAGAUGAGCUGCCAGUCACACAUAGAUUCGCAUUACACACUAGCAGCAAGCACAUUGUACACAUAUGAUACAUCCCAGACUUCUGUGAGCUAAGGAAAGAGUGGUUUUACUUUUAUGGACAAAAUAAGCAUCUUUAACUUGGCAGAUGAAGCAAUAACAAAAAUGGCAGCUCACCAUUGAUAGUGUACUAUCCAAAAUAACUCAAUUCUCCAUUAGAAUGUAGUAGCCUGGAAUAGAAAGAGAUCUCUGUAAUUUAUAAAUGUUAGUACUCAUGACAGAAUAUCUGUGGAAUUGUAGAGACACAAAGUAUAACAAACAGGUGUUUCAGACUAGAUGCUUCUAACAAGAGAACUGAAAGUGGGAGAGAAGCCAAUAUUACUGGCAACAAAGUCUGAAAACAUAAUCAAAAGAUUCUCCUGAACUGUGAGAAAUGCUGCUAUCCAGGGAUAGAGGCUCAGACCUGGAAUCCAAACACCUACAGAGACUGGGGCAGGAGGAAAUCAGACAUUCUAUCUGCAGGAGUAUGAAAUUAGAUCUUCAUCUUAAAUAAAAAUAAAUCAAAAUGGAAGAAAGACCCCCCUCCCUCCACCUGACCCAGAAAUAUAAAACCACCAGGAAGACAAAUAGAGGAAGCACUCCCGGACACAGGUCAGGAAAUGGGUGUUUUCAUGAGACCCCCAAACACAGGAAUCAAAAACAAAAAUAAGUAAAUGAGGCCACACCAAACCAAGAUACCUCCAUCCAGUAGAGAGAGUGGUCUUUGGUGUGAAGAGAUAGCCUGAGGACCAGAGGGUAUAUUUGAAAGAUAUGGACUGCUCCAAGUCCACAUGGAGCAACUCGGUAGCAGGAUGGCAUGGAGCCUCAUUACCACAGACGAUGGCCCAAACAUCUAUAUCUCCAAAGGAGUUACAGAUGGCCAAUGAGUCUGUGAAAGUGUUCAACACCACCAACCACAGGGAAAACACAAAUCAAAGCUACCCUGGGUUGUUGCCUUGCUCCUGUUAGGAUGGCGGUAUCAAAAGAUGAAGGAUACCAAGUAGUGAAGCUUUUUAGGAGAGGGAGCCCUGGCACACACUGGUGGCCAUUCUGUAAAGCAGUAACAAAAGCUGCUGAAAAAAAAUCAAAUAUAGAAGUACCACUGCUCUGGAUAUAUUUCAAGGAAAUGGAUAGUAUGCUGUCAUGGUAAACUUAUUUCAGUGUUAUUCACAAUAGCCACGGAAUACAAGCAGUCUAAAUGUCCAUAGGCUGACGAAUGGAUAAAGGGAGUUUACUACAUAGACCCACUGGAAUACUAUGCAGCCUCCAAGAAAGAGUCUUCUGCCAUUUACAGUAGGAUGGAGCUGAAACACAUUAUGUUAAAUGAAGUCAACCAAGAACAGAAAGAGAAACAUCGUGUGUUCUCACUGAUACUGGGAUCCAAAAACACCAUACUUGAAGAGAAGACUCCAAGAACAGAAUGGUGGUUUCCAGGAACUGGAGUGUAGGGUGGGAAGAGGCUGGCCAAAAGUACAGCAUUAAGUUAGGGAGAGCAAGGAGAGGAGCUGGGUUGUGUGCCAUGGUGACUAUAGUUCAUAGUGAUGCAUGUAUACUUGAUAUCUGUGGAGGAUAAUAAGCAUACAAGAUAGCACAUUAACUGGCUUGAUUAGCCAGUUCACAGUGUGUGCCUAAAUCAAAACAGCAUGCUGUCAUUCCAAUUUAAACAAAGUACAGAAAUCACUAACCAAUAAAGAUACAACUGAAGACAUUAUAGUGGAUUCCACCACUUACAGGACUCCAUGCACAGAAACCAUUGUUCCUUCCAUGGAAGGAGAGGGAGGGUGCCAUUGCAGAAAAUCUACAUUGUUCCCAGGAAACAGAAUAAAGCUGUGUACCUAAGUAGGAUACAAAUCAAGCCAUCUAGUAAGCCAAUGAUGUUAAAAUACUAUUCAGCUGAAUCUGAGGGAGAAAUUUGAUCUGCAAAGAAAGCUUUCAUUUAUUUCACUGGCAAAUGCUUCUUGCUCUGUUCCCAUAAGCCUGGUCAAGGGACACGACAGAUAAAAGUCCCUGCCCAGCAGAAUUUACAUAUGGAAUACAGAGACAAAUGACAAGCAGUAAAUGGGUAAAUGAACAAUGCUAGAAGAUUAGAUGCCACAGAAAAGAGACACGAAGUGAUGGGGCCUUGGGAUCUGCGCUCCCCUCCCCCUUAUAAAUCACAGCCAUUGAAAGCCCGGAGCCCCAGGAAACCUUUCUCAGGAAGGUGCAGGCAUGUGGAGGAGGAUGCUAGAGAACCAGGUGUGAAAGCUGCCCAGUGAACUGACUGGUGCUUCGGCCUUCAGUAGGUUCUGUUGGGGUCAAUGCAAGGCUUCACAGAAGAAAAAGUGUAGGAUAAACAUAAAUUAGUCUGUGUUUAGAGAAACGCAAGUUUUCCUGAAUUCUGUAAUAAACAAACCCUAUGAUGUUGUCCACUGAUUGAAUUCUUAACACCUGUUCACUUUUACUCACUUUAGCUCUGUUUUCCAUGUUGGCAAAUACUAAUUCACUGCUGUUUUUGAAAAUGAAAUAAUUGAACAUAUGUGCAACUUUAGUUCUGAAACGUUUACAUUUUCCCCCAUCAGAUUUAAUGAAAAUAUAAUUGUCUGUGUUUGUAUGCUUAAGGAAAUGGGGAUAAUUUAUUUAACUACCAUGGAUGAAUAUGUAUGUGUGUCUAUUUUGGCAGAGAAAGAACACGAAGGAGAAGGCUAGAGACCUGCGGUUCCACUGAACUCUUGUUUGGCCCUUAAUUGCAUCCAGCUAUGUUGGUGCUGUAAUAGCCCGGCCUGGAAUCAUUGUUAAUAACAUUUGUUCAUAACGGUGUGAUAACUUCUGCCUCCUUAAAGGGCUUUAGAAUUAAGAAGCUAACCUAUUGUUAUAAAAGUGCAAUAGAAACAGU
Mastomys coucha (southern multimammate mouse) is the source of this 6828-nucleotide long non-coding RNA. RefSeq lists it as uncharacterized. The transcript is spliced from 3 exons. Lineage: Eukaryota; Metazoa; Chordata; Mammalia; Rodentia; Muridae. The record is from RefSeq and is a predicted model, not a curated record.